Molecule: non-coding RNA, 1523 nt
Organism: Pelobates cultripes (western spadefoot toad)
Lineage: Eukaryota; Metazoa; Chordata; Amphibia; Anura; Pelobatidae
Source: the annotation of a GenBank genome assembly
CUCUACUAUAUUUUCUUGCACUCUUCUUUUACAUAUUCCUAGUGCAUUUACAUUUAUACCAUAAACCUUUACAUAAAAUUUACAUUUUAAUGUUUGCUGUUUACACAUAGAAAUUGUCAUUUUUCUGUUAAUUUUGUGACCCUAACAUUUCAGUAAAACAUAUUCAGGCAUUCCAGUUUUCUCAAUUUUGUUGGGACAUGACAAACUGUUCUGAUUUUGCUCCCUGGUUUCCCUAAAGGCAAACUGUUCCAGAAUGUAUAUAGCUGACACACCAUCAGAUCCGCUUACUCUACCUCUCUGCAUUGUUUGCCUUUGCUGGGUCAGCCACCUUGAUAUACAUGCACCAUGGUGCCAGAGCCAGAUUUACAUGUAAGGUGCCUGAAGAAAUAAAACGAGUUUAAUAAAUGUAUUUACUGGGGGUUGCAAGCAUACAACCAUCUAAAUUCUACAUUAUCAUAUUUGACAACUGCAUCUCUAUAUGUAAGUGCAUAUUCCUGCUUGCAAUGUAUUGUGUUUGAGUCUAAGUAUAGUGGGUCUAUGCAGCGCUCAAAAUGCAUGGAGGGUUAAAGAUAAUAUUAGAAGUGGUUAAAGUAAAGGGUGGUUAAAAGUAAGAGAGGGGUUCAUUUCAGAGUUAGAUUGUAUAGUGUUAAAAAUGUAAAAAGCUAGAGAGGGGUUACAGUUGUGGUAGAAUAUAUGUUUAUUAUUGUUAGAUUGAGGGUUAGCGUAAGGUUAAUUUUAGCAUUGGAUACAUGGGGUGUUUAAUUUUUUAAAGUUAAACCUAGGAUUAAGGUAAAGAAUUUUCUUCUAGUUUAAGUUUGGAGUGCUUACAUUUGUAAGAAAACAGAAUUGGUUUGUUUAGGUUUUGGGAGGGGGAUUGCAUUUUACAUAGGGUUAGAAGUAAAGGUGUUUAGGGCAUGUGGCGUUUGAAGGGUUAUUUGCAAAUUACUCACCCUUCUACAGCUUCUGUAAUCCAGUUAGCCUCCUGUGAUUGCUGAGCUGCAGUAUCGGUUAUACAGUGUGCAUCAUUUAAUGCUGUCCUUUGUAAAGUGUGCACCAUUCGUUGCUGUCCCUACUCAUCCUGCAAAGCACUUUCAUUGUAAGAGGCUGUUUGCAGAUACUGGAGAAGCUAGGAUAGCACUGAGAUUUACACCCUCUAACUAUUCAAAAAACUAUGAAGCAUAGUAGUCUGAACAGAGCGGAUACUGGUCAAUCUUCCUGGCACUUAUCUGUCCCACUUAAACUCAAAAAAGCCACAUCAAAAUUGCAGAAAACAGGUUCCCCAUUGAGGACAAGCACCUGUAUGCAGGUGCCUACUCUGGCUAAUGGGAAAUGCAGCCAUGUCAUCACAUUAUGCACAUAUGCACCAGAUUAGAAUAUAUUUAAAUUCUCAGAGGCUACAGUUUUUCUAUAGUAGACACAUUCGGAAUACAAAUAGAUCAUGCUUGGUGAUACACCUCAGAGUUCUUUAUACCUUACUUAAUGUAAUGUUGUUAUUAAUGGUAAUUUUUCAAGCAGGAUAAAAG